Molecule: small nuclear RNA, 164 nt
Filed under: Salvator merianae (Argentine black and white tegu)
Lineage: Eukaryota; Metazoa; Chordata; Lepidosauria; Squamata; Teiidae
Description: U1 spliceosomal RNA (ENSSMRG00000016255.1)
Rfam family: U1 spliceosomal RNA
About the family: U1 is a small nuclear RNA (snRNA) component of the spliceosome (involved in pre-mRNA splicing). Its 5' end forms complementary base pairs with the 5' splice junction, thus defining the 5' donor site of an intron. There are significant differences in sequence and secondary structure between metazoan and yeast U1 snRNAs, the latter being much longer (568 nucleotides as compared to 164 nucleotides in human).
Source: RNAcentral
ACACGUACAUGGCAGGAGAAAUGCCAUGACCAGGAAGGUGUUUUCCCAGGUUGAGGUUCAUUCACUGCACUCUCGGUGUGCUGACCCUUGCAAUUUCCCCAAAUGCAGAAAACUCGACUGCAUUCAUUUGUGAUAGUGGGGGACUCUGUUCACACUUUCCCAAU